GACGUAGGGCGCGAGCGUUGUCCGGAUUUAUUGGGCGUAAAGAGCUCGUAGGCGGCUUGUCGCGUCGACCGUGAAAACUCGCAGCUCAACUGCGAGCCUGCGGUCGAUACGGGCAGGCUAGAGUUCGGUAGGGGAGACUGGAAUUCCUGGUGUAGCGGUGAAAUGCGCAGAUAUCAGGAGGGACACCGAUGGCGAAGGCAGGUCUCUGGGCCGAUACUGACGCUGAGGAGCGAAAGCGUGGGGAGCAAACAGG
RNAcentral lists this ribosomal RNA (253 nucleotides) under uncultured bacterium. RNAcentral's name for it is "partial 16S ribosomal RNA". It matches the Rfam family "Bacterial small subunit ribosomal RNA", at positions 524 to 776 of the family's 1533-position model. The record is from RNAcentral.